UUUAUCAUCUUAAAUAUCUAGAGUAAUUAUACUUCUUUGAUGCUUUUAUUGAAUGGUGAGUUUAAAUUAUAAAAUAUUAUGUUUUCCAAUUAAAAUGUUUUUUAAUAAAAAAUGAGAUUUAUACUGGUUUUGAAAUCAAAUAUUGUUUUGGGAAAAUUGAGUAUAUGGAGACUGUGUUGAAAUUUAUGAUUUUAUAUGUUAUUGAAAUUGGGGCUUAUGACACUAUGGUAGCAUAAUGGCUAAAUUUUUGGGGUUGACAUGAAAUAU
This 267-nucleotide long non-coding RNA is filed under the name Theobroma cacao (cacao). RNAcentral describes it as "long non-coding RNA (TCAC_LNC006003)". Lineage: Eukaryota; Viridiplantae; Streptophyta; Magnoliopsida; Malvales; Malvaceae. The record is from RNAcentral.